This 379-nucleotide unclassified non-coding RNA is filed under the name fungal sp. RNAcentral describes it as "partial internal transcribed spacer region". The stretch from base 1 to 46 matches the Rfam family "Eukaryotic small subunit ribosomal RNA", at positions 1786 to 1831 of the family's 1831-position model. The record is from RNAcentral. Lineage: Eukaryota; Fungi.
AAGUCGUAACAAGGUCUCCGUAGGUGAACCUGCGGAGGGAUCAUCUAUAAAAAAAAUAUGAUGAUGAUGAUGAUGAUGAUGUUUAUUCAUCAUCAUCAUCAUUAUUCAUAUAUUAUCCAUUAUAGGAUGUUUUGGUGUUGUUAUUAUAUAAUAUUCUUAUAAUGUUGCAGGAUGGAAUUGUGUGUAUGUGUGUGUGUGUCGGUGUUUGUGUGUGUGUUGUAUGUGUGUUUGUGUUUUAAGGAGUAUCGUUACUCUUUUUAACCUUCCCCACAUACACUCUACUCUUAUUACUACCCAUCACUACACCAAUAAAAAACCAACCAGGAUCAUAAAUUCCAAACAAAGUUUAUAACUUUUGGCAACGGAUCUCUUGGUUCUC